Sinocyclocheilus rhinocerous is the source of this 356-nucleotide long non-coding RNA. RefSeq lists it as uncharacterized. The record is from RefSeq and is a predicted model, not a curated record. The transcript has 3 exons. Lineage: Eukaryota; Metazoa; Chordata; Actinopteri; Cypriniformes; Cyprinidae.
UAGGAAAUUUCCGAUAGCACGUGAAGGCAGCAUAAAAGAUGCCUGCUUAAGCAUUGCGUGGUGACUCCUUCAACGUGUGUUUAUGCUCUGCGGGCAGUAAUAGUCUUUUUCGCCGUCUAUCCCCUUUUUGCUCUUUGCUGGAGUGUGUGCGAGUGGAGUGGCGAGCGCAAUUCGCAUAAAGUCUGCUGUAGUUUAAGAAUUUCAUAUAGGAGGUGCGGCCUGAGAGUGCUAGCUGCUGUUUCAUAUACCCGUUUUAUACACUGCUGUUUCAUCGCUCGGUUUAUGCGGCUGAUUCUGACGGCUGUGGAUGCCGCUGUUUUGAACUGCGAUUUGCCGGGUGCUUUCUAAGACUAAUC